This 553-nucleotide long non-coding RNA is filed under the name Vombatus ursinus (common wombat). Its description in RNAcentral is "lncRNA (ENSVURG00010013909.1)". The record is from RNAcentral. Lineage: Eukaryota; Metazoa; Chordata; Mammalia; Diprotodontia; Vombatidae.
GAAUUGAUUUAGUGUGGAAUUUCUAUAUGCAAAAAUGUCUUAUUGCAAUUUUUCCCCCUUACAGAUUGUCAUAAUGCAGAACAAGACUAUAAACCUAAAUGGGAUCAUGGCUACCUUUAUUAAGAGCAGGAAGGACAGAACUAAAAGUUUGAGAGAAUGGCUCUAAGGCCCUGUUUUCCUUUCCUUUAGCCUCGUGAUACAGAGGCAUCUUGAAACCCAAUCAUCCCAUGGAAAUGUACAUAUAGUCUGCAGUUUCACUUGUCAUAUAUAAUUGCAUCUACUCUUCAUAAGGCUUAAUCAACAUUUGUGGAAUUGAAUUGUACUUGAUCAGACUGCAUCUGGCCAGGUUGGCAUACAACCCACCAAAGAAAGCUUUAUGGACCUUAAUGGCUAUAAUUUAAAAAAUCCAAUCCAGCAAACCAAACAGCAUUUAUUAAGUACCUUAUUUGUGGAAGGCACUGAGGAUGCAAAAAUUAAAGGGGAAAAGUAAGUAGAUUUCUUCCCUUUCUACUGCAAACUAAUAACAUAAAAUGCUAUUUCUACGGACUCCACA